AGUGAACGCUGGCGGUGGGCCUAACACAUGCAAGUCGAACGGCAGCACAGUAAGAGCUUGCUCUUACGGGUGGCGAGUGGCGGACGGGUGAGGAAUACAUCGGAAUCUACUUUUUCGUGGGGGAUAACGUAGGGAAACUUACGCUAAUACCGCAUACGACCUACGGGUGAAAGCAGGGGAUCUUCGGACCUUGCGCGAUUGAACGAGCCGAUGUCGGAUUAGCUAGUUGGCGGGGUAAAGGCCCACCAAGGCGACGAUCCGUAGCUGGUCUGAGAGGAUGAUCAGCCACACUGGAACUGAGACACGGUCCAGACUCCUACGGGAGGCAGCAGUGGGGAAUAUUGGACAAUGGGCGCAAGCCUGAUCCAGCCAUACCGCGUGGGUGAAGAAGGCCUUCGGGUUGUAAAGCCCUUUUGUUGGGAAAGAAAAGCAGCAGGUUAAUACCCCGCUGUUCUGACGGUACCCAAAGAAUAAGCACCGGCUAACUUCGUG
This 492-nucleotide ribosomal RNA is filed under the name uncultured bacterium. RNAcentral describes it as "partial 16S ribosomal RNA". It matches the Rfam family "Bacterial small subunit ribosomal RNA", at positions 29 to 507 of the family's 1533-position model. The record is from RNAcentral.